CCUACGGGUGGCAGCAGUGAGGAAUAUUGGUCAAUGGACGAGAGUCUGAACCAGCCAAGUAGCGUGAAGGAUGACUGCCCUAUGGGUUGUAAACUUCUUUUAUAUGGGAAUAAAAUGUUCCACGUGUGGGAUUUUGUAUGUACCAUAUGAAUAAGGAUCGGCUAACUCCGUGCCAGCAGCCGCGGUAAUACGGAGGAUCCGAGCAUUAUCCGGAUUUAUUGGGUUUAAAGGGAGCGUAGGUGGAUUGUUAAGUCAGUUGUGAAAGUUUGCGGCUCAACCGUAAAAUUGCAGUUGAAACUGGCAGUCUUGAGUACAGUAGAGGUUGGCGGAAUUCGUGGUGUAGCGGUGAAAUGCUUAGAUAUCACGAAGAACUUCGAUUGCGAAGGCAGUUCACUGGACUGCAACUGACACUGAGGCUCGAAAGUGUGGGUAUCAAACAGGAUUAGAUACCCUGGUAGUC
RNAcentral lists this ribosomal RNA (460 nucleotides) under uncultured bacterium. RNAcentral's name for it is "partial 16S ribosomal RNA". It matches the Rfam family "Bacterial small subunit ribosomal RNA", at positions 338 to 795 of the family's 1533-position model. The record is from RNAcentral.